UAGCCUAACGGCUGAACCAGCAACUUGGAGGAAUGGAUAGCGAAAGCUAAUUGUACUAAUGGUACAAUAACGAUUUAAUCGUAUAAAAUUCUGGGUAGAAUUAUGAUAAUGACAUUGUUUACCUAUAUAUCUUGACCAAAUUACGUGCCAGCAGUCGCGGUAAUACGUAGAAGAUUAGUGUUAUUCAUCUUUAAUAGGUUUAAAGGGUACCUAGACAGCAAAUCAAGCCUUCAAAAGGGACUAGUUUGCUAGAGUUACUUGUGAGGGGGCAUAAAAGUACUAUCGGUGUAGAGAUAAAAUUCGUUGAUACCCCUUUUCGUAUGAAAAUUAAUGGCACAGAUUUAGGCAAAAGCAUCCCCUUAUGUGAUAACUUUGUGUAGCGAACAGGAUUAGAUACCCCAAUAGUCGAAGCAGAAAAUGAUGAGUGUCAUAGAUUAGAUUUAUAUUUAUUCUAUAAAUGAAAGUGUAAGCACUCCACCUCAAGAGUAAUUUGGCAACAUUGGAACUGAAAUCAUUAGACCGUUUCUGAAACCAGUAGUGAAGUAUGUUGUUUAAUUAGAUAACACGCAAAAAACCUUACCACAAUUUGAAUAUUUACAAGCGUUGCAUGGUUGUCUUCAGUUAAUGUCGUGAGACUAUGGUUAGUUCCAUUAAUUAACGUAAACCCUUGC
RNAcentral lists this ribosomal RNA (671 nucleotides) under Puttea margaritella. RNAcentral describes it as "SSU rRNA". It matches the Rfam family "Bacterial small subunit ribosomal RNA", at positions 372 to 1109 of the family's 1533-position model. Lineage: Eukaryota; Fungi; Ascomycota; Lecanoromycetes; Lecanorales. The record is from RNAcentral.